GAUGAACGCUGGCGGCGUGCCUAAUACAUGCCAGUCGAGCGAACAGACGAGGAGCUUGCUCCUCUGACGUUAGCGGCUGACGGGUGAGUAACACGUGGAUAACCUACCUAUAAGACUGGGAUAACUUCGGGAAACCGGAGCUAAUACCGGAUAAUAUAUUGAACCGCAUGGUUCAAUAGUGAAAGACGGUUUUGCUGUCACUUAUAGAUGGAUCCGCGCCGCAUUAGCUAGUUGGUAAGGUAACGGCUUACCAAGGCAACGAUGCGUAGCCGACCUGAGAGGGUGAUCGGCCACACUGGAACUGAGACACGGUCCAGACUCCUACGGGAGGCAGCAGUAGGGAAUCUUCCGCAAUGGGCGAAAGCCUGACGGAGCAACGCCGCGUGAGUGAUGAAGGUCUUCGGAUCGUAAAACUCUGUUAUUAGGGAAGAACAAAUGUGUAAGUAACUAUGCACGUCUUGACGGUACCUAAUCAGAAAGCCACGGCUAACUACGUG
RNAcentral lists this ribosomal RNA (497 nucleotides) under uncultured bacterium. RNAcentral describes it as "partial 16S ribosomal RNA". It matches the Rfam family "Bacterial small subunit ribosomal RNA", at positions 28 to 507 of the family's 1533-position model. The record is from RNAcentral.